Molecule: ribosomal RNA, 434 nt
Filed under: uncultured bacterium
Lineage: Bacteria
Description: partial 16S ribosomal RNA
Rfam family: Bacterial small subunit ribosomal RNA
Source: RNAcentral
AGCGAACGCUGGCGGCAGGCCUAACACAUGCAAGUCGAACGAACCUUUCGGGGUUAGUGGCGGACGGGUGAGUAACACGUGGGAACGUGCCUUUAGGUUCGGAAUAACUCAGGGAAACUUGUGCUAAUACCGAAUGUGCCCUUAGGGGGAAAGAUUAAUCGCCUUUAGAUCGGCCGGCGUCUGAUUAGCUAGUUGGUUGAGUUAAUGGCUCCCCAAGGCGACGAUCAGUAGCUGGUCUGAGAGGAUGAUCAGCCACAUUGGGACUGAGACACGGCCCAAACUCCUACGGGAGGCAGCAGUGGGGAAUCUUGCGCAAUGGGCGGAAGCCUGACGCAGCCAGGCCGCGUGAAUGAUGAAGGUCUUAGGAUUGUAAAAUUCUUUCACCGGGGACGAUAAUGACGGUACCCGGAGAAGAAGCCCCGGCUAACUUCGUG